Molecule: ribosomal RNA, 397 nt
Filed under: uncultured bacterium
Lineage: Bacteria
Description: bacterial SSU rRNA
Rfam family: Bacterial small subunit ribosomal RNA
Source: RNAcentral
UAUUGGACAAUGGGGGGAACCCUGAUCCAGCGACGCCGCGUGAGUGAAGAAGUAUUUCGGUAUGUAAAGCUCUAUCAGCAGGGAAGAAAGAAAUGACGGUACCUGACUAAGAAGCCCCGGCUAACUACGUGCCAGCAGCCGCGGUAAUACGUAGGGGGCAAGCGUUAUCCGGAUUCACUGGGUGUAAAGGGAGCGUAGACGGUUAUGCAAGUCUGAAGUGAAAUGCCAGUGCUCAACACUGGAACUGCUUUGGAAACUGUGUAACUGGAGUGCAGGAGAGGUAAGUGGAAUUCCUAGUGUAGCGGUGAAAUGCGUAGAUAUUAGGAGGAACACCAGUGGCGAAGGCGGCUUGCUGGACGGUAACUGACGCUGAGGCUCGAAAGCGUGGGGAGCAAAC